AUACGUAGGGUGCGAGCGUUGUCCGGAAUGAUUGGGCGUAAAGGGCGCGUAGGCGGCCCGGUAAGUCUGGAGUGAAAGUCCUGUUUUUAAGAUGGGAAUUGCUUUGGAUACUGUCGGGCUUGAGUGCAGGAGAGGUAAGUGGAAUUCCCAGUGUAGCGGUGAAAUGCGUAGAGAUUGGGAGGAACACCAGUGGCGAAGGCGACUUACUGGACUGUAACUGACGCUGAGGCGCGAAAGUGUGGGGAGCAAACAGGAUUAGAUACCCUGGUAGUCCACACUGUAAACGAUGAAUGCUAGGUGUAGGGGGUAUCGACCCCUUCUGUGCCGCAGUCAACACAAUAAGCAUUCCGCCUGGGGAGUACGGCCGCAAGGUUGAAACUCAAAUGAAUCGGCGGGG
Molecule: ribosomal RNA, 397 nt
Filed under: uncultured bacterium
Lineage: Bacteria
Description: partial 16S ribosomal RNA
Rfam family: Bacterial small subunit ribosomal RNA
Source: RNAcentral